AACGAACGCUGGCGGCAUGCCUAACACAUGCAAGUCGAACGAGACCUUCGGGUCUAGUGGCGCACGGGUGCGUAACGCGUGGGAACCUGCCCUUAGGUUCGGAAUAACUCCCCGAAAGGGGUGCUAAUACCGGAUAAUGUCUUCGGACCAAAGAUUUAUCCCCUUUGGAUGGGCCAGCGUUGGAUUAGCUAGUUGGUAGGGUAAAAGCCUACCAAGGCGACGAUCCAUAGCUGGGCUGAGAGGAUGAUCAGCCACACUGGGACUGAGACACGGCCUAGACUCCUACGGAAAGCGGCGGUGGGUAAUAUUGGACUAUGGGCGAAAGCCUGAUCCACCAAUGCCGCGAGAGUGAUGAAGGCCUUAGGGGUGUAAAGCUCUUUUAUCCGGGAUGAUAAUGACAGUACCGAGAGAAUAAGCUCCGGCUAACUCCGUG
RNAcentral lists this ribosomal RNA (433 nucleotides) under uncultured bacterium. RNAcentral describes it as "partial 16S ribosomal RNA". It matches the Rfam family "Bacterial small subunit ribosomal RNA", at positions 29 to 507 of the family's 1533-position model. The record is from RNAcentral.